AUAGCUGCCAUCGCUGCGUGCCAUAGCUGCACCCUACAGACCUGAAACAGCCUGUCUAGCGAGGUGGGUAACAAGUCCUCUGAGCCGGAGAGUGAAACUGAACUGAAAAAAUGCAACCAAACCAAAGACGGCUGCAAAAAACCUGCUGUCCUGCCUUCUUUUGCCCGUUUUCUGGGAUAGAGAAGUGGAUGGCUACUGGUAGACUUGAGAAGAAAAUCUGAAGGCAUUCCCCAUCUCCCAGAAUGUGUCCCAGAGCUGGAGCCAAUUCCGUUGCUGAGAUGCUGCAUUUCUCACCUUCUGAUUGCAAUUAGCCAUUGCCAGCUGGGGCCUGGUGAGCUGCUGAAGAGCUAACAAGAAGCGGAGACCAGCAUGAGGCCUCGGCAGCGCGUAUGCUGGGAAUGAACAAGAAAUGCGGCGCUGUGUUCCUGAGGCGGCUCCACCACAAAACAAGGUUCCCAUGUCCCCGCGUGUGUGUCAAAGUCUGCUUUUGGAGGCUCAGCUUGCUCCUCACGCUCUUACACAUUGCCAUCACGUUUGCCAGAAAGGAAAU
Long non-coding RNA from Pygoscelis adeliae (Adelie penguin), 550 nucleotides. RefSeq lists it as uncharacterized. Lineage: Eukaryota; Metazoa; Chordata; Aves; Sphenisciformes; Spheniscidae. The record is from RefSeq and is a predicted model, not a curated record. The transcript has 3 exons.